Molecule: ribosomal RNA, 708 nt
Filed under: Streptomyces sp.
Lineage: Bacteria; Bacillati; Actinomycetota; Actinomycetes; Kitasatosporales; Streptomycetaceae
Description: bacterial SSU rRNA
Rfam family: Bacterial small subunit ribosomal RNA
Source: RNAcentral
CCAUGCAGUCGACGAUGAAGCCCUUCGGGGUGGAUUAGUGGCGAACGGGUGAGUAACACGUGGGCAAUCUGCCCUGCACUCUGGGACAAGCCCUGGAAACGGGGUCUAAUACCGGAUGAUACCUGCCGAGGCAUCUCGGUGGGUUGAAAGCUCCGGCGGUGCAGGAUGAGCCCGCGGCCUAUCAGCUUGUUGGUGAGGUAGUGGCUCACCAAGGCGACGACGGGUAGCCGGCCUGAGAGGGCGACCGGCCACACUGGGACUGAGACACGGCCCAGACUCCUACGGGAGGCAGCAGUGGGGAAUAUUGCACAAUGGGCGCAAGCCUGAUGCAGCGACGCCGCGUGAGGGAUGACGGCCUUCGGGUUGUAAACCUCUUUCAGCAGGGAAGAAGCGCAAGUGACGGUACCUGCAGAAGAAGCGCCGGCUAACUACGUGCCAGCAGCCGCGGUAAUACGUAGGGCGCAAGCGUUGUCCGGAAUUAUUGGGCGUAAAGAGCUCGUAGGCGGUCUGUCGCGUCGGAUGUGAAAGCCCGGGGCUUAACCCCGGGUCUGCAUUCGAUACGGGCAGACUAGAGUGUGGUAGGGGAGAUCGGAAUUCCUGGUGUAGCGGUGAAAUGCGCAGAUAUCAGGAGGAACACCGGUGGCGAAGGCGGAUCUCUGGGCCAUUACUGACGCUGAGGAGCGAAAGCGUGGGGAGCGAACAGGAUUA